GAAACGACUGCUAAGACUGGAUAGGAGAUAAGAAGGCAUCUUUUUAUUUUUAAAAGACCUAGCAAUAGGUAUGCUUAGGGAAGAGCUUGCGUCACAUUAGUUAGUUGGUGGGGUAAUGGCCUACCAAGACGAUGAUGUGUAGCCGGGCUGAGAGGUCGAACGGCCACAUUGGGACUGAGACACGGCCCAAACUCCUACGGGAGGCAGCAGUAAGGAAUUUUCGGCAAUGGAGGAAACUCUGACCGAGCAAUGCCGCGUGAACGAUGAAGUAUUUCGGUACGUAAAGUUCUUUUAUUAGGGAAGAAAAGAUGGUGGAAAAACCAUUAUGACGGUACCUAAUGAAUAAGCCCCGGCUAACUAUGUGCCAGCAGCCGCGGUAAUACAUAGGGGGCAAGCGUUAUCCGGAAUUAUUGGGCGUAAAGGGUGCGUAGGCGGUUAAAUAAGUUUAUGGUCUAAGUGCAACGCUCAACGUUGUGAUGCUAUAAAAACUGUUUAGCUAGAGUUGGAUAGAGGCAAGUGGAAUUCCGUGUGUAGUGGUAAAAUGCGUAAAUAUACGGAGGAACACCAGAAGCGAAGGCGGCUUGCUGGGUCUUAACUGACGCUGAGGCACGAAAGCGUGGGGAGCAAACAGGAUUAGAUACCCUGGUAGUCCACGCCCUAAACGAUGAGUACUAAACGUUGGAUAAAACCAGUGUUGAAGUUAACACAUUAAGUACUCCGCCUGAGUAGUACGUACGCAAGUAUGAAACUUAAAGGAAUUGACGGGACUCCGCACAAGCGGUGGAUCAUGUUGUUUAAUUCGAAGGUACCCGAAAAACCUCACCAGGUCUUGACAUGCUUUUGCAAAGCUGUAGAAAUACAGUGGAGGUUAUCAGAAGCACAGGUGGUGCAUGGUUGUCGUCAGCUCGUGUCGUGAGAUGUUGGGUUAAGUCCCGCAACGAGCGCAACCCUUGUUGUUAAUUGCCAUCAUUAAGUUGGGGACUUUAGCAAGACUGCCAAUGAUAAAUUGGAGGAAGGUGGGGACGACGUCAAAUCAUCAUGCCCCUUAUGACCUGGGCUACAAACGUGAUACAAUGGCUGUUACAAAGGGUAGCUAAAGCGUAAGCUUCUGGCGAAUCUCAAAAAAGCAGUCUCAGUUCGGAUUGAAGUCUGCAACUCGACUUCAUGAAGUUGGAAUCGCUAGUAAUCGCGAAUCAGCAUGUCGCGGUGAAUACGUUCUCGGGGUUUGUACACACCGCCCGUCA
Molecule: ribosomal RNA, 1244 nt
Filed under: Candidatus Phytoplasma solani
Lineage: Bacteria; Bacillati; Mycoplasmatota; Mollicutes; Acholeplasmatales; Acholeplasmataceae
Also listed under: 2 other names
Description: bacterial SSU rRNA
Rfam family: Bacterial small subunit ribosomal RNA
Source: RNAcentral